UCAGAAUCAACAGCAGCAUUAAGUAACAAAUCAGACAAUAGAUUGAUAUAUUAGAUGAAUAAUAAAAUUCCCCCUGCUCCUAUCAGCUGUGCAAACAAUGCGCUUUGAAAAACACAAAUAGCAGCUGUAGAAAAAAAAGCUCGCAUACGGCACUUCAUUUGACACCGCAACUGGGAAACGAACAACAUCGAACUUUUAUUAAUCCGGUCGGAUCAGAUUAGUUAGAUCGUUAACGAUGAAAUUGUUUGCAAUUAUAGUGAUAACUGUUGCGCUUUUUCAGCAGGCCACAUCUAGGACAGUUACAAGUGCAGACCAAUGUUUUGCUAAUGAGGAGUUCCAGGAGUGUGAAGGCUGCUGUGAAAAUACUUGCACACUAAACUGUGCAGUUGUAAGAUGCUAUCGACCGGUUUGUGCCCCGGGAUGUGUCUGCCGCUAUGGAUAUGUUCGCGUUAUCAAAACUAACGACUGUGUCAGUGCACUCACCUGUAUCAAGAAAAGAACAUUAAUAUGAUUAUAUCAUGUACUGGCAAAAAUGAAAAAUAUAAUAUAAUUCAUAAAUUGUAAA
This is a long non-coding RNA of Wyeomyia smithii (pitcher-plant mosquito), 565 nucleotides long. RefSeq lists it as uncharacterized. The record is from RefSeq and is a predicted model, not a curated record. The transcript has 3 exons. Lineage: Eukaryota; Metazoa; Arthropoda; Insecta; Diptera; Culicidae.